GUUCCGGUAGCUUGAAUGUUAGAGCUCUUGACGCGUAAUCAGAGAGAUCCGGGUUCAAUUCCCGGCUAACGUCCGAAGCC
This 80-nucleotide transfer RNA is filed under the name Cotesia glomerata. RNAcentral describes it as "tRNA-Thr". The record is from RNAcentral. Lineage: Eukaryota; Metazoa; Arthropoda; Insecta; Hymenoptera; Braconidae.